GACGAACGCUGGCGGCGUGCUUAACACAUGCAAGUCGAACGGAAAGGCCCUGCUUUUGUGGGGUGCUCGAGUGACGAACGGGUGAGUAACACGUGAGUAACCUGCCCUUGACUUUGGGAUAACUUCAGGAAACUGGGGCUAAUACCGGAUAGGAGCUCCUGCUGCAUGGUGGGGGUUGGAAAGUUUCGGCGGUUGGGGAUGGACUCGCGGCUUAUCAGCUUGUUGGUGGGGUAGUGGCUUACCAAGGCUUUGACGGGUAGCCGGCCUGAGAGGGUGACCGGCCACAUUGGGACUGAGAUACGGCCCAGACUCCUACGGGAGGCAGCAGUGGGGAAUAUUGCGCAAUGGGCGGAAGCCUGAUGCAGCAACGCCGCGUGCGGGAUGACGGCCUUCGGGUUGUAAACCGCUUUCGCCUGUGACGAAGCGUGAGUGACGGUAAUGGGUAAAGAAGCACCGGCUAACUACGUG
This 468-nucleotide ribosomal RNA is filed under the name uncultured bacterium. RNAcentral's name for it is "partial 16S ribosomal RNA". It matches the Rfam family "Bacterial small subunit ribosomal RNA", at positions 28 to 507 of the family's 1533-position model. The record is from RNAcentral.